UAAUGCAGUCGAGCGAACAGAUAAGGAGCUUGCUCCUUUGACGUUAGCGGCGGACGGGUGAGUAACACGUGGGUAACCUACCUAUAAGACUGGGAUAACUUCGGGAAACCGGAGCUAAUACCGGAUAACAUUUGGAACCGCAUGGUUCUAAAGUGAAAGAUGGUUUUGCUAUCACUUAUAGAUGGACCCGCGCCGUAUUAGCUAGUUGGUAAGGUAACGGCUUACCAAGGCGACGAUACGUAGCCGACCUGAGAGGGUGAUCGGCCACACUGGAACUGAGACACGGUCCAGACUCCUACGGGAGGCAGCAGUAGGGAAUCUUCCGCAAUGGGCGAAAGCCUGACGGAGCAACGCCGCGUGAGUGAUGAAGGGUUUCGGCUCGUAAAACUCUGUUAUUAGGGAAGAACAAAUGUGUAAGUAACUGUGCACGUCUUGACGGUACCUAAUCAGAAAGCCACGGCUAACUACGUGCCAGCAGCCGCGGUAAUACGUAGGUGGCAAGCGUUAUCCGGAAUUAUUGGGCGUAAAGCGCGCGUAGGCGGUUUCUUAAGUCUGAUGUGAAAGCCCACGGCUCAACCGUGGAGGGUCAUUGGAAACUGGGAAACUUGAGUGCAGAAGAGGAAAGUGGAAUUCCAUGUGUAGCGGUGAAAUGCGCAGAGAUAUGGAGGAACACCAGUGGCGAAGGCGACUUUCUGGUCUGUAACUGACGCUGAUGUGCGAAAGCGUGGGGAUCAAACAGGAUUAGAUACCCUGGUAGUCCACGCCGUAAACGAUGAGUGCUAAGUGUUAGGGGGUUUCCGCCCCUUAGUGCUGCAGCUAACGCAUUAAGCACUCCGCCUGGGGAGUACGACCGCAAGGUUGAAACUCAAAGGAAUUGACGGGGACCCGCACAAGCGGUGGAGCAUGUGGUUAAUUCGAAGCAACGCGAAGAACCUUACCAAAUCUUGACAUCCUUUGAAAACUCUAGAGAUAGAGCCUUCCCCUUCGGGGGACAAAGUGACAGGUGGUGCAUGGUUGUCGUCAGCUCGUGUCGUGAGAUGUUGGGUUAAGUCCCGCAACGAGCGCAACCCUUAAGCUUAGUUGCCAUCAUUAAGUUGGGCACUCUAGGUUGACUGCCGGUGACAAACCGGAGGAAGGUGGGGAUGACGUCAAAUCAUCAUGCCCCUUAUGAUUUGGGCUACACACGUGCUACAAUGGACAAUACAAAGGGCAGCUAAACCGCGAGGUCAUGCAAAUCCCAUAAAGUUGUUCUCAGUUCGGAUUGUAGUCUGCAACUCGACUACAUGAAGCUGGAAUCGCUAGUAAUCGUAGAUCAGCAUGCUACGGUGAAUACGUUCCCGGGUCUUGUACACACCGCCCGUCACACCACGAGAGUUUGUAACACCCGAAGCCGGUGGAGUAACCAUUUAUGGAGCU
This 1416-nucleotide ribosomal RNA is filed under the name Staphylococcus sp. RNAcentral describes it as "bacterial SSU rRNA". It matches the Rfam family "Bacterial small subunit ribosomal RNA". The record is from RNAcentral. Lineage: Bacteria; Bacillati; Bacillota; Bacilli; Caryophanales; Staphylococcaceae.